GUUGGUUUUUUGUACUACGAUUGGUGUAAAUUGUACGUUAUUAUCCGGUGUAACCUUGGUUUCGCCAAAAAUAGUGUUCCCUUUUCACAUUCGUUUCAUCAGAUAAAUAUUUAGGGGACCACCAAUUCGCAUGAAAUAAUUUUUUCGAAGUCACAGUUCGAAAAAUUAAAACAAACGUUUUGUCUGCAAAUACAUACAAUUUACAGAAACAAAGAUUUAAUAUUACUAAAUUUACAUUUGUGGAGAAAACUAUGAGACGUCCGCUCUCACUAAUCACCCUUCAAUGUGCGUGUGAAAAUUUUUCACAUUUUUCAGUGCAGAAAAGGGCCACGGAACAACUCAAUGUAAAAAGUUUUCGUUUCACUAGCCAAAGUGAAUUUCAGAACACACCCGAAUGUUUACAUGCUCAUACAAAUUAAAAAAAAAAAUGUACAAUGGAGAUAAGACGAAAUGGAUGGUUUCAACUUCCAAAAAACCUUGCACAACCGAACAGAUAAAGAAAAUGGAGAAAGUUGGGAACCACAACUUUGAGACAGACAGUGACUUUAUCUACCUCGGCACCGCCGUAACCGAAACGAAUGACACCAGUCUUGAGACUAAGCGAAGAAUAAUACUGGCAAACAGAUGCUACUUUGGACUAAGUAAGCAGUUUAGAAACAAGGCCACAUCUCGACAGACGAAGAUUACACUAUACAAGACACUGAUACUAAGCGUGUUGUCAAAUGUUUCUGAAGCAUGGGUACUUGCGAAAACAGAUGAGGCAGUGUUUGGAGUAUUUGAGAAAAAGAUUCUUCGUAAAAUAUAUGGACCAGUUUGCGUUAACGGAGAAUAUAGGCGACGUAUGAAUCACGAGCUCUAUGAAAACGAUAGCACAGUUACACACAUCAAAAUACAACGGCUGCGUUGUCUAGGUCAUGUUGUCAGAAUGGAUGGAGAAGCUCCAGCAAAGAAGUCUUUCGAAGGCAAACACGGUGGUACACGCAAACCGGCAAGACCAAUAGCCCGAUGGAAAGAUCAAGUUGUGGGAAACAACUCGAAACUUAGUGUCAGAUAUUUUAGAAUGAGCGUAGAAGAUCAAGGCGUUUGGAACGCUAUCUACGUUCGACUAGUGGAACAAAUAUUCUGUCAUAUAUAGAGAGCCAACACUGGUUUAAACAGCUCACGCACGUUUCGUGUUUUGUUUCACUGUCAAACAUCUACAGUUUCGUCUAUAAUUUAACCAUGAAUCGUCUUACAAACGAACAACACUUGCAAAUUUUGGAAUUUUACUAUCAAAAUGCGUACAUUGUUAAGAAAGUUUAUCGCACUCUUCUUCCAUUUUAUGGACGAAGCUUGUUUUUGGCUCAAUGGGUACGUACCCAAAUAAUUGGGUACGAUUUUGGAGUGAAGAUCAGCCCGAAGCAUUGCAAGAGCUAUCAAUACAUCCAGAAAAAAUCAAAGUUUGGUGCGGUUAAUGGGCUGGUGACAUCAUUGGACCAUACUUCUUCAAAGAUGAUGCGAAUCGUAACGUAACUGUAAAUGGUGAGUGCUACCGUGAGAUUAUAUCCAACUUUUUUGCCCAAAAUGCAAGAGUUUGACUAGCAUGACAUGUGAUUUCAAUAAGACGGUGCCACAUGCUACACAGCACGCGUAACAAUGGAUUUAUUGAGAGGCGAGGCGAGGUGAACAUUUUAUUUCACGUUUGGGACCGGUCAAUUGGACGCCUAGAUCGUGCAAUUUAACGCCUUUAGACUAAUUUUUGUUCGGCUAUGUUAAAGCUCAUGUCUAUACAGAUAAGCCCGCCUCAAUCGACGCAUUGGAAGACAACAUUGAAGAAUUUAUUCGUGAAAUGUUAGAAAAUUGUGCGAAAAUUGGACUAAGCGGAUGCACCAUUUGAGGCGCAUUCACGGUCAACAUUUGCAUGAAAUAAUCUUCAAACAUUAAAUUAAAGGACCGUACUAUCGAUUCAAAUAAAUAUUUCAUGAAUUGUUCUGAAUAAAUAAAGAUUUCAUGAAUUGUUCUGAACUUUA
Long non-coding RNA from Stomoxys calcitrans (stable fly), 2009 nucleotides. RefSeq lists it as uncharacterized. The record is from RefSeq and is a predicted model, not a curated record. The transcript has 2 exons. Lineage: Eukaryota; Metazoa; Arthropoda; Insecta; Diptera; Muscidae.